ACAACUUAAGUUUUGAUUUUCCACUCCAACACAUGAAAAAAUCAAACUUAGGAUAAGCACACCUCACUUGCUAUUUUUCUCACCUCCCUUCUUUCUAUUUUUCCACUCAAUUUUUUCCUUAUCUUUUCUUCUGAUUUUUUUCAAAUUUUUUUCUUCUCUUAUCACAUGCCAAGAUCUCUAAUUUUUCAUCAAAAUCCAGCCCUUAUCCCAUAAGAUGUGCCCCAUUUAAAUAGAUGAAGAAGGGACGGCG
This 250-nucleotide long non-coding RNA is filed under the name Elaeis guineensis (African oil palm). RNAcentral's name for it is "long non-coding RNA (EGUI_LNC074336)". Lineage: Eukaryota; Viridiplantae; Streptophyta; Magnoliopsida; Arecales; Arecaceae. The record is from RNAcentral.